GGAGGGAUGGCCGAGUGGUCGAAGGCGGCGGUCUUGAAAACCGUUGAGCGGCAACGUUCCGGGGGUUCGAAUCCCUCUCCCUCCG
Molecule: transfer RNA, 85 nt
Filed under: Myxococcales bacterium
Lineage: Bacteria; Pseudomonadati; Myxococcota; Myxococcia; Myxococcales
Description: tRNA-Ser
Rfam family: tRNA
About the family: Transfer RNA (tRNA) molecules are approximately 80 nucleotides in length. Their secondary structure includes four short double-helical elements and three loops (D, anti-codon, and T loops).
Source: RNAcentral